RNAcentral lists this ribosomal RNA (446 nucleotides) under uncultured bacterium. RNAcentral describes it as "bacterial SSU rRNA". It matches the Rfam family "Bacterial small subunit ribosomal RNA", at positions 330 to 792 of the family's 1533-position model. The record is from RNAcentral.
UCCAGACUCCUACGGGAGGCAGCAGUGGGGGAUAUUGCACAAUGGGGGAAACCCUGAUGCAGCGACGCCGCGUGAGUGAAGAAGUAUUUCGGUAUGUAAAGCUCUAUCAGCAGGGAAGAAAAAAGACGGUACCUGACUAAGAAGCCCCGGCUAACUACGUGCCAGCAGCCGCGGUAAUACGUAGGGGGCAAGCGUUAUCCGGAUUUACUGGGUGUAAAGGGAGCGUAGACGGCAAUACAAGUCGGAAGUGAAAUACCCGGGCUUAACCUGGGAACUGCUUUGGAAACUGUAUGGCUGGAGUGCUGGAGAGGUAAGCGGAAUUCCUAGUGUAGCGGUGAAAUGCGUAGAUAUUAGGAGGAACACCAGUGGCGAAGGCGGCUUACUGGACAGUAACUGACGUUGAGGCUCGAAAGCGUGGGGAGCAAACAGGAUUAGAUACCCUUGUA